RNAcentral lists this non-coding RNA (23 nucleotides) under Arabidopsis thaliana (thale cress). Lineage: Eukaryota; Viridiplantae; Streptophyta; Magnoliopsida; Brassicales; Brassicaceae. The record is from RNAcentral.
CCCAAAUCUACCCAAAAUACCCG